Molecule: ribosomal RNA, 689 nt
Filed under: Dimerometopus sp. JP-2014
Lineage: Eukaryota; Metazoa; Arthropoda; Insecta; Coleoptera; Staphylinidae
Description: partial 28S ribosomal RNA
Source: RNAcentral
GCCGACUUCCAUGGCCACCGUCCUGCUGUCUUUAGUUACUAACGCCUUUUGUGGGGUCCGAUAUGCGUUGAUUUUGGCACUAUAACUUUACGACCGGUUCAUCCCGCAUCGCCAGUACUGCUUACCAAAAAUGGCCCACUGAAGGCCUUUACUAUCUAUCCAUUUGCUACGUAGCACGCUAGCUAAUGGAAAACACACACAUUAACAGUUUGAGAAUAGGUUGAGAACGUUUCGAACCCAACGACUCUAAUCAUUCGCUUUACCGCAUGUGACUAUCGUUACUAGACCUCAGCUAUCCUUAGGGAAACUUCGAAAGGAACCAGCUACUAGAUGGUUCGAUUGGUCUUUCGCCCCUAUACAUAGUUCUGAUGAUCGAUUUGCACGUCAGAACCAUUGCGGACCUCCACCAGAGUUUCCCCUGGCUUCAUCCUUUCCAUGCAUAGUUCACCAUCUUUCGGGUUCCAGAGCACGAGCUACGAGUACGGCAGCGCCAUUGCUGACGCGUAAUUGCCAUCUCCGAUUUGCCUAGACGCCAUACGAUAUGUUUCGUUAAUAAUGCGUCUCAUCAUACAUAGUUGAGUAAACCGAACACAAGAAGUGCUGAUUUACUCUCGAUUGCUUUCGUUAAGUUUGACGGAUUCUAUAUAAUGAACCUUUGUGUCACGCUCGUUCGCUGGACUCCUUGGUCC